GCCGGGCACGGUGGUGCAUGCCUGUAGUCCCAGCUACUCGGGAGGCUGAGGCAGGAGGAUUGCUUGAGCCUAGGAGAUCGAGGCUGAAGUGAGAUUUGGCACACUACUGUAACUCUAGCCUGGGAAACAGAGCAAGAUUCUGUCUCAA
Molecule: non-coding RNA, 148 nt
Organism: Homo sapiens (human)
Lineage: Eukaryota; Metazoa; Chordata; Mammalia; Primates; Hominidae
Rfam family: Metazoan signal recognition particle RNA
About the family: The signal recognition particle (SRP) is a universally conserved ribonucleoprotein. It is involved in the co-translational targeting of proteins to membranes.
Source: Rfam